Bubalus bubalis (water buffalo) is the source of this 2805-nucleotide long non-coding RNA. RefSeq lists it as uncharacterized. The record is from RefSeq and is a predicted model, not a curated record. NCBI's taxonomy places the organism in Eukaryota, Metazoa, Chordata, Mammalia, Artiodactyla, Bovidae. The transcript is spliced from 3 exons.
GUUGCUGAAUUCUGUUUGCUAAAAUUUUGUUGAGGAUUUUUGCAUCUAUGUUCAUCAGUGAUAUUGGCCUGUAGUUUUCUUUUUUGUGUUGUCUUUGUCUGGUUUUGAUAUCAGGGUAAUGGUGGCCUUACAGAAUGAAUUUGAGAGUGUUCCUUUGUCCUUGUUUUUUUUGAAUUCUUUUUUGAGAAGGAUAGGUAUAAAUUCCUCUUUAUAUGUUUGGUAGAAUUCCCCAAUGAAGCCAUCUGGUCCUGGAGUUUGGUUUGCAGGGACUUUUAUUACUUCAGAUUCUAUCUUUUCUAGUGAUCGAUCUGUUCAAAUUGCUUGUUUUUUCUUGAUUCAGUCUUGGCAGGCUGUAUGUUUCUAGAAAUUUGUUUCUUCUAGGUUGCCCAGUUUGUUGGCAUAUAACAUUACUUGUCAUUUAUCCCCCCAUCCUCUUCAACUUAUGUUUUGAUUAAUUUUAUCCUUUAACUAAUAUCUCUGAUCGCUUAAUGUUUACAGUUCGUGUUGGAACUUAUUAGAAUAAGUUCCAAUGGAACUGAUAAUGGAAUAAGUUCCAAUGGAACUAAUAAUGGAAUGCCUUAUUAGACAGCUUACUGGGUAUAGGUAAGCAUGUAACAUAGUACUAUAGUACUAUAUCUAUAGUACUAUAGAUAGAUAGUACUAAUCUAUAGUACUGUAGAUUAUGCAUGCAUAAUCCAGCAUGCAGUGGAUUUAAAUGUCACAAAAUACUCAGAGAGCUGGACCUUGACUGGAGAAAUGAGACAGCACUUGUGUCUGUCUGCCACACAAGAAUGCUGGCAGCAUUUAUGGAGUGCGUACUGUGUGUGAGGUAUGUCAUUUAGACCUCAGAAGUAAGGCCGAUGCUAGAUGACCUUAACGCUACAGAGGAGGUCCCUGAUGCCACAUAGGUCGCUUCCAGGUGUAAGUUCCCCUGGCAGCAGUGAGGCGCACAGCCGCACGCUGGGGCUCCGUGGCCAGCACUCUAGAGGUCCUUGGGUUGCCGUCAGAAAGUGGGGACGUCCUGGAGCCACAGUGGGGUAAGUGGUCCUGCAUUCACACCUGAAGGAGAUGGGAGCUGAGUGAGAGUAAGGUACUCACCUGGACUGGCUCAUAUCUUCCCCCUCUGGACAUCACCAAGUUUCUGGCUGCUGUCUUAUUUUAAACCACAGUUUGUCCUUGCGUAAGGUAAGUCGCUUUGUGAUUUGAGAGCCCAGUUCCCCUUCCCCCUUUAUUUUCUGUCUGUCCAGACACCAGCCUCUCUCCCGUCUGCCUGGUGAUUUGGGAUUCUUGAGCCAGGGGUUCACAGGACUGCUCUGGGGCUUCAGAAGUAGCUUUCUCCAUUUCUCACAUCCAGGAACAGGAAUUUCUAAAGAGAAAACCAUCUUUUGCUUCCCUACAUUCAGCUCUGUCACAACCUAAGAGUCAGUGUAGAGUUAGGCAGUGAUUCUAGGUUAGUCACUCACAGGAAGCCACACCCAUUGUUACGGGGCGCUUGUUGUGUGCUGAUAACCUUGUCAUUUUGUCCUUAAAACCACAUGAGGUGGUGUAACGUAAUGCCUCUUCACAAAAUAAUGUUAAUUUUAGGGUCCAGCCUUUCACAGUGAAGGUGAGAAAACUAAGACCCAGAGAGCUCCCAAGGUGGUUUCUUCCUCUGUUUCUGCAUGUCCAGCAUAAUAGCCAGGAGCCACAUGUGGCUGUUUAAACAGCACGAGAAAUUGAACUCCUCGGAUGUACUAGCCACAUGGCAACCACUUAAGAACUUGCCUGUGGCUUAUGGCUGCCACACUAGAGGGCGUCUUCUACAAGGCUGUCACCUCAGGACAUCGAGCCGUGGCUGUGUCAGCUGGCCCUUCCGGACUCCAUGGCAUUGGUCUUCAGAAUCCCCGCUGACCUCCAAGUUUUCUCUGCAGGUUGCCAAACCUUCCAAGUUACCCCCAGGGUGGCACACACGACUAAAAGCCGGAGUUUGAAGGUGCUGGACUUCCACGUAUCUGGAAUAUCUAGGGAUCCUAAAUGGAGCUACAACCGUGCCCUCUCCAGAUCCACUGCAAGGAAUGCUGCUUAAAUGAUGGGCCCGGCGCCACUGGCAGCCCCCACCCUGGCAGUUUCGGAGGACCUGCCAUCAGAGGGACGCGCUCACCAGCAUUCUGCUUCCUGUGGCCCAUGACAAGGCUGUGUGCUGUGGUGAAGCUAGAUAUCCGAGUGUAGAGUGCCUUCUCCCAGAUACUGUUAUGGGCAGAAGUGCGGUGUCGUGGGGAAGCCCUUAUUUACAGUUGGUCCUGCCUAGUCGGGGUCAGAGAGGAAGGUGGGUUUUUCAUUUUUAAGUCUGUUCUUUUCUUUGCUCUCCUCUGUGCUCACCCACAGUAUCGUAGACACUGUGUAACUGACCUUCCUUCAGCUGCAGCCAUGUUGCCUUGCCCACGCGCUGCCCCAAGGCCUCCCGUACCCUCAGCGUUCAUUUUCAGCAGCGAGCUCUGCGCAGGAGCCCCCGGCGCUGUCCUGACUGUAGGCGCAGCGCUCACAGCAGCGUGCUCACACCCGAGCUGUCCAGUGUCUGACUGUGUCUUCAUGGGAAAGCAUAUACGGAUACUUGUGUCUUAGGUCAUUGGAAAGUGUACUUAACUUCUUAUUUCUGUCUUUCCCAUUCCUGGCUUCCUGUCACCACCUUUUCCCCUCACCAAAAACAAAACAAAAACUGAGCCAUUAUGUAAUUUUAAAAAAUUGUAUCCCUCCCCCAGGCACUUAAAUCUUAUACUGUUAUUUGUAAGUAGUACUGCUUAAUUAAAAGAAACCCUUAGGAAUUCA